Molecule: ribosomal RNA, 292 nt
Filed under: Haemophilus influenzae 60294N1
Lineage: Bacteria; Pseudomonadati; Pseudomonadota; Gammaproteobacteria; Pasteurellales; Pasteurellaceae
Description: partial 16S ribosomal RNA
Rfam family: Bacterial small subunit ribosomal RNA
Source: RNAcentral
ACUUGAAUUGAAGAGUUUGAUCAUGGCUCAGAUUGAACGCUGGCGGCAGGCUUAACACAUGCAAGUCGAACGGUAGCAGGAGAAAGCUUGCUUUCUUGCUGACGAGUGGCGGACGGGUGAGUAAUGCUUGGGAAUCUGGCUUAUGGAGGGGGAUAACGACGGGAAACUGUCGCUAAUACCGCGUAUUAUCGAAAGAUGAAAGUGCGGGACUGAGAGGCCGCAUGCCAUAGGAUGAGCCCAAGUGGGAUUAGGUAGUUGGUGGGGUAAAGGCCUACCAAGCCAGCGAUCUCUA